GAGACGGAUGGUGGUGAUGGUUGCACAAGAAUGUGACUGUACGUUAUGCCACUGAACUGUACGCUUAAAAAUGGUUACGAUGGCAAAUUUAAAAAAAAUCGUAUUCUAAGUUCUCUCAAGUUGUCAACAGUGGGCUUUCUUUUAAGUUGCAUUUACAAGAAAUAAAUUAAAAUAUCAGAUGGGAGUUGUCAUUAGAGCAGUUAAGAAUCACAGAUGCCGUAUUCCCGGGCAAGUGUCCUCCCCUCCCGGAGCCUGAGUUUCCUCACGGGGUAAUGGGGAUGAUGAUGGUGCCUCCCUCUGGGGCCACUGCGAGGAUUCCAUGAUGCCUGCAAGGUGGUCCAGCGGAGGCCGGCGUCCAGGAAGCACUCAGCACCCAGCAGUCCUUAGUCCUGGCAGAUAUGCCCCAGGCGUGUGGGGUUUGGGAACAGGAGCAGCACAGGCCCUAGUCAGAGGAGAAAAGACCCCUUGCCUGACAGUACACCUGGGGAAACUGAGGCCUGGAGGAGUCAAGAGACUUGUCCAAGGUCUCUGGGCUUCCCUUGAACCAGAAUGUGGUUUUCCACGUCUGUAUCGGUGAGCAAGGCUCGGUUGUGCUGCGUAACGAGCGAGCCCCACAUCGCAGUGUCUCACACAGCACAAGUCUGUUCUGCAUCCAGCAAAGUCUGCCGUGGGUCCAGGAGCUUCUCCAGGGCAACUGCCCUCCACGCGAAGGCCCAGGGAUCCAGGCUGCCUCCCGCUGGUGGCGCCUCCAUCUCUGGGUCCCCGAGGCAGGGAAAGAGCAUCACGUCCCUGCCUCCCACACUCCACUGGCCAGCACCAGUCACAUGGCUUCACCCCACGCCUGAGACGGAGAGGAGAACCAUGGGUAAGCCCCGGAAGUUUCUUCUCACCAUGCGAGUGGGACGAAGGCCAGUGGACAGCUGUCUCCAGGACAUGCUCACAGUGAACUGAGUCAGAGAGAAAAGGGUUUGAGGCUGGAAUGACUCCCCCUCCUACCCAAGCCCCCCGCUCCUUCCCAGAGCAGCCACGGUGAGCCGCGCUAACGGCCGGUUUACAAGCAGGGGUGUUGACGUGCCUUGUGGACAUACAGUUGUUCUCGGCCACUCCUUGAAGAAGCCGGCGGGGGUCUGUCCAGCCUCUUGCUCUCCCACCUGGCGGUGCCUCCACCUGUACGUAAUCAGUGCCCCCGAUGGGUGUCCAGGCCGUUUGCAAAGUUCUGCUAUUAUAAACAGUGAUGCAAUGAAUUUCCUGCACGUUUUCCCUUGUCACCCAUGUAAGUGUUUCUGUGGUGUAAAUUCCUAAAAAUGGAAUCGCUUGGUCAGAGGGCAGGUGCAGCGAGCAGUCUGACAGCUUUCCAGCGGCAGGGGCUGCUCCAGGGUCAGAAGGAGCUUUUAAGAAGUGUUGCUAAUGGAGCCGAGUGAGUUUCGGGGACCAGGCCUGCAGCCACUCUUCCUGCACAAGGGAUCACACGUCUGCCCACCUCUCCCAGCCGCCAGCCCCCUCCGCUCCUGCAUCUCCCGCCUGGAAUGCUGUGCCAGCCUCUUCCCGGUGCCCACCCGGCCUCCAGGAUGACCCCUGACCACCAGUGCUCCACGCAGGGCCCCGUGGGCCUGGGGAAGUGUCAGCCCGGCUCACCACGCCCCAGUAACUCCCGUCGCCCUGACCAAGUCUAUUUCUUCCCUCAGCUUUGAAGGCUCCGGGACCAGGUUCCUGCCACCCCUGCAGCCUCCUGCCUCUCCACCCCCCACCCCUGCUCUAGCCAGACUGGCUACUUUCCAGGCCUCGGUGCCCUUGCACACACUGUCCAGAGGCCUGGAAUGUUCUCUCUUAUCAUCACAUCGGCUGUUCAUUCUUUAGAACUCAGCGGAGGCUUCCCCUCCUCUAGAGAGCUGCCGCGGCCCCUGUGGCCAUGGUCUGUUUACUUGUCUGAUGCCCCCACUAGAUUGUCCCUAAUCCUCUAGCCCAAGGCCUGGCCGCCAGCUGGAGUCACCACUGCUGGUGGAAGGAUGGCUCAGUCCCACCCUCUCCCCUUCCCGCCCUGCCCCCAGCCCCGCUCCCCACUCCUUCCCUGGGGCUCAUUCUCCUUUCCCGACCUCAUUGCUCUCUGCAGUGCAGCACUGUGCUAAGAGCAGCCAUGCUGAAGUCACACACACCUGAGCCCUCACCCCAGCUGUGCCACCUCGUGGUGCUGAACCUCAGUCCUCCCGUCUGCAGAACGGGGAGAACAUAGCACGACCGGCCUAGAGCUGUCGUAAGGGUUAAAUGAAGAGCGUUUGUCACGUCCUUGGACAUCACAGGACUUCAGUAAAUGUUAACUCUUCUUGUU
Equus caballus (horse) is the source of this 2326-nucleotide non-coding RNA. The record is from RefSeq and is a predicted model, not a curated record. NCBI's taxonomy places the organism in Eukaryota, Metazoa, Chordata, Mammalia, Perissodactyla, Equidae.